UACAGAGGGGGCGAGCGUUGUUCGGAAUUACUGGGCGUAAAGGGCGCGUAGGCGGCCCUCUAAGUCGAACGUGAAAUCCCCGGGCUCAACCCGGGAACUGCGUCCGAUACUGGAGGGCUCGAAUCCGGGAGAGGGAUGUGGAAUUCCAGGUGUAGCGGUGAAAUGCGCAGAUAUCGGGAAGAACACCCGUGGCGAAGGCGGUUCUCUGGGCCGAUACUGACGCUGAGGAGCGAAAGCGUGGGGAGCGAACAGG
RNAcentral lists this ribosomal RNA (253 nucleotides) under uncultured bacterium. RNAcentral describes it as "partial 16S ribosomal RNA". It matches the Rfam family "Bacterial small subunit ribosomal RNA", at positions 524 to 776 of the family's 1533-position model. The record is from RNAcentral.